This is a small nuclear RNA of Octopus sinensis (East Asian common octopus), 107 nucleotides long. The record is from RefSeq and is a predicted model, not a curated record. Lineage: Eukaryota; Metazoa; Mollusca; Cephalopoda; Octopoda; Octopodidae.
GUGCUACUUCAGCUCUACAGAUACGAAAAUUGUAACGAUACAGAGAAGAUUAGCAUGGCCCCCUGUGCACAGAUGACAUGCAAAUUUGUGAAGCGAUCCUUAUCUUU